UACGUAGGAGGCAAGCGUUGUCCGGAUUUAUUGGGCGUAAAGCGCGCGCAGGUGGCCUGCCAAGUCAGUUGUGAAAUUUUAGGGCUUAACCCUAAAGGGUCAACUGAAACUGGCAAGCUAGAGUGCAGCAGAGGAAAGCGGAAUUCCCGGUGUAGUGGUGAAAUGCGUAGAUAUCGGGAGGAACACCAGAGGCGAAAGCGGCUUUCUGGGCUGUAACUGACGCUGAGGCGCGAAGGCUAGGGGAGCAAACAGG
RNAcentral lists this ribosomal RNA (253 nucleotides) under uncultured bacterium. RNAcentral describes it as "partial 16S ribosomal RNA". It matches the Rfam family "Bacterial small subunit ribosomal RNA", at positions 524 to 776 of the family's 1533-position model. The record is from RNAcentral.